RNAcentral lists this ribosomal RNA (440 nucleotides) under uncultured bacterium. RNAcentral describes it as "partial 16S ribosomal RNA". It matches the Rfam family "Bacterial small subunit ribosomal RNA", at positions 338 to 795 of the family's 1533-position model. The record is from RNAcentral.
CCUACGGGAGGCAGCAGUAGGGAAUAUUGCUCAAUGGGCGAAACCCUGAAGCAGCAACGCCGCGUGGAGGAUGAAGGUUUUCGGAUUGUAAACUCCUUUUGUUAGAGAAGAUAAUGACGGUAUCUAACGAAUAAGCACCGGCUAACUCCGUGCCAGCAGCCGCGGUAAUACGGAGGGUGCAAGCGUUACUCGGAAUCACUGGGCGUAAAGAGCGCGUAGGCGGGAUAGCAAGUCAGAUGUGAAAUCCUAUGGCUUAACCAUAGAACUGCAUUUGAAACUGGUAUUCUAGAGUAUGGGAGAGGUAGGUGGAAUUCUUGGUGUAGCGGUAAAAUGCGUAGAGAUCAAGAGGAAUACUCAUUGCGAAGGCGACCUGCUAGAACAUAACUGACGCUGAUGCGCGAAAGCGUGGGGAGCAAACAGGAUUAGAUACCCCGGUAGUC